UGGUUAAGACAAAGUAAUUCAUCUGUUAGGUUGUUGAUCUGUAUUAUAGGUACAUUUUAAGGAAACACAGCCCCUAGGAUACACUGAAACUUCAUUUAUGUUCAACAGUAAUCAGAUAAUCAUUAGAUAUAAGAAGGAGACAAAAGUCAAGGUUUAGGGGUUUGAUGCUGAAAAAUAUCUCUCAAGAACAGAGUGCUCCUUCUCUGUGAUGACCAAAUCAUGCCUGAGAAAAAGUCUAAGUGAGAGGCAGGCAAAUUUUUGCAAUUAAAUUCCAACACAUAAUGUUAAUAUUCUUGUUCUCAGGGUUUUUUUCUGUAAUUUUUUCCCCCAAUUUUAUAAUAGAAAACUAAGUCUUUGCUUGUUAACUCUUCAUUAAGAUCAUCUGUCAAAAGCAAGCUUACAAAACUUUACAAGUAAAAGUACUCUGUUUCUCCAGAAAUAACAUGUUCAAAGAAGGCAUUAAAUACACACAAGUCCUUCUAGUGUCUGAAGCACAGAAUGAGUUUAGGUUUCACACAAGCUCAUGGGUGUUUUCCCACCAAGUUUCUAGGCUCAGUGUGAAUGUUGGUAAGUGAAUUUCUUAGGGAGAAAUUCCCCACAUCGGCAAACACCAGUGUCCUUCUGGCAAGGAGGAGUUAGUUGUGAGACAGUUUGAAAUUUAACAAAUUCCAUGUUGUCACAGAGGGCCUCUUUUAUGUAUUCAUACACCACUACCACACACUCAUCUUUUGGGAAUGUAUUUUGUUGUCCUUCAGGCGGUGCCUGACACAAAGAAGAUCAGUAGACCACUGGAAAUAUUUGUACAUGCAUCAAAAAUAACCAGAGUGUUUCCCAGAUCAGUUUUAUACCUAAAAAUAAAAAAAAAGUUGUGACAAAAAAAGAGAACAAAGUUUUGAUUUAAAACAACUCAGUCUUUUUUCCUCAUUCUGAGGGCGAGGCACCAGAUAUUGAAUUAGGUUCUUCAGUCAUUACAUUCCUCCAAAUAACCUUACCCUUAAAAAUAAUUCUAGCCAAGGGAACCAUCCAUCCAGAGAAGGAAACAUAAGCUGUUGACCACAAUUGAUUCCAGAUCUCUUCAGUCUUCUUCCUGAGGGCUGCUCAGUACCAAGAACAAAACUAGACACCAAUUUCAGGGUUGUAAAGCCCCAGCCUAAGACUAAUUAUGGCAAAAGGAACUAUAUAUAAAGUAAAAAAAAAGAAAAAUUGUUGACAAGAUCUCCAGCUCUAUUCCAAACUCUUGUGGGCAGAAUAGAAUUAACUGGCUUCUUCAAGUUUUUAUAUUCCCAAAUCCUAAUUCAAACCUAAUCCUAAUGCUACCUAUUGCCACAGGUCCCAUCCUUCCAAAAAGAGAACAUAAAUUAUUGACCACAGUCAACACCAGCCCAAUUUCAGGGCAAGGCUUGUUUUUUGCCAAUAAUUUAUAUUGACUUACACUGGAGAGAAAGGUCUGCUGGCCAUAUUUGAGUUAAACUUCUGAAUCAAAUUAGGAUUUAGGCUGGGAUGGGAUCCACCUCACUAAGCAGGGCACGUGUGUCUUUGCCAACAGGUUGGUCAGCCUCUUAAGG
This is a long non-coding RNA of Apteryx haastii (Great spotted kiwi), 1565 nucleotides long. Lineage: Eukaryota; Metazoa; Chordata; Aves; Apterygiformes; Apterygidae. The record is from Ensembl.